UGAUUAGCUUUUUUCAUAAACAACCGAGUGUGUGGAAAUUCUCCUCCCAUUAGGUGCCCAUGGGAAUCUACUGUUGACAGAAAUUUUAUUUAUGUAUUUUUUGAAGCCAUCUUAAUGAAUCCUUAAACAUUGAAAUAACAUGGUCAGAUGUAGUGUACAGUGACUGUAGUAUUUGGGAAACAAAUGUGGGGUCAUCAAGUGUGAUCUCAGUUCAUGGGGCGUUCAAAUAUCAAAUGUUUUGACGAGCCUUUGUAAUAAAGUAGGUUUCGCAGCUAAAAAGGGUGCAAACGACAUUUCAAGAUUAAAAAAUGUGUACAAUCAAGUAGUUUGCGCAACAUAUGCGGCCCAUGGCAUGAGGAGGUAUUUAUGACCUUUUUGUGUCGACCAGGGUUAUCAAACUCAUUUCAAAUUGUGGGCCACAAACGGACUCGGUAGCUGUCAAGUGGUCCGGGCCAUUAACAUUGUACCAUACUCUACUAUAAAUAACCAAAAUAUGAUAUCUUUCCUUUGUUUUGGUAUAAACAAGCAUUGGUGGAUUGAUACCGUCUGAUGUGUUGGGUCGGUCUCAGUGACAGACUGAGACUACUGUUUUUAUUCUCUGAUCAAAACAAUGUUGUCUUCUCCUCUGAUCAAAACAGUGUACCCCCUAGCGGAUAAUCAACAAAUUGCAUUUUAAUAAAAAUAUUCAUUCCGUGUCUUUAACGCAUUUUUUCACUUUUAAAUUAUCCUGGGGGCCAGAUCGAACCUCCUUGGGGGCUGGUUUUGGUCUACGGGCCAUAUGUUUGACACCUCUGAGUGUAGACGAUAUAUUGAGCAAUCAUGAGUUCACUACAGCGUUAGCAUCGAUUGAGGACCCACAGGACAAAAGAAGCCCCAACAAGGGAUGCAACGAGAAGAACUUGAAAUAAGUUGUAACUUCAACUAAAGGGUUCACAUCCUCCACUGCUAAGGUUAGCUCGAGCGCACACAGGUUGUCACGCAUUGUUCUUAUCGUUUUAGAGUAUGUUGAAAAUUUUGAUGUAUAAAGUGCAUCUGAGAAGUGAUUUAUUUUCAUUAUUUCUUUAUUUUAUAUUCAUUAUUGGAGUAGAGUAUUUUUUUAAAAAGCUUUUCAGAACUGUCAAGGUUCUCAAACUUGAGUCCGUGUCUGGAAAAUUAUUGUGUCAAUUGUGUACAACUGGAGACGGGAGCUUCGGCGAUGAUAGAUAAAGAUUGAAUUCAAUGUGGUUAACUUCCAUUCUACUGUACAAAAGAACCGAUGAAUAUUUAUAUUGAAAUGUUCAAGUGAACCAUUUCAUAGUAUUUAUGGAUACACAAGAUUAUAUUUAACUGGCAUUCGGAUUAUGAAGGGGGUCCUUGGAAAAAUGUCUGCUAUUUAAGAGCUGCUCUAAUCUCAUUACACAAGAUUGCAAUUUAUUAAGAUUAUUUUGGAUCCUAUUACUUCUAAUCACUUCAGAUCCUGAAGAAAUUCAGAAUCCGGCUCUUUUGGUUUUUCAGAUCCAAAUUCAUGCAUUCAUUUUACAGCCUUGGUGUGCGCUCGGAUUACACUCGUAUUUGUUUUACAAAGUAGGAUAAUGUUUAUCUUGUUUCACCAUAGUGUCAAACUAUAGAACACUCUAUAAAAUAUGAGACUCCCAAAUGCUGAGAAACCAAAUUGAAACCAAGUGUAAGCCAAAAACGGAGACGUGUGUGUGCGCGUCUGUCUCUGCGGAGCAUCUGUUUGUUUAACUUUGCGGCCAGAGGAGGCUCAGACGUGGAAUAACUCCCGGCUAACUGUGCGACAUUAAAUUCCUCAGAAUUCCGUAGCGGUUUACUGGGAAGGUUUGAUGUGAGGAGGUAAGGCCGCCCUGAGGAUCAAAAUAAGAGUUCAAUACAUCUUUAUUUACACUGCGCAUUCAUAACAGCCGCAGCUGGAACAAAGCGCUUGACUUCCGAUUGUGUGGGAAUGUAGUGACUGAAAAUACAACUUCAAGUUGGGCCAGAUGCUCGAAGCCAGCGGCAUAAAAAAAAAACGUGGGUCUCAAAGAUCUACCAUCACGAGCAACAAUAGCAUACAGUUGCGUAGUAGGCCUAAA
Long non-coding RNA from Hippocampus zosterae (dwarf seahorse), 2072 nucleotides. RefSeq lists it as uncharacterized. NCBI's taxonomy places the organism in Eukaryota, Metazoa, Chordata, Actinopteri, Syngnathiformes, Syngnathidae. The transcript has 2 exons. The record is from RefSeq and is a predicted model, not a curated record.